Molecule: long non-coding RNA, 758 nt
Filed under: Numida meleagris (helmeted guineafowl)
Lineage: Eukaryota; Metazoa; Chordata; Aves; Galliformes; Numididae
Description: lncRNA (ENSNMEG00000005354.1)
Source: RNAcentral
GCAGCAGUUUAAUGCAUACUACAGAUUGGAGGGCAAGGGCCACACAGCAAAUCAGGUAUGCGAGCAUCUUAGAAAGGGAAUGCAGACAUUGACUGCAGAACCAUCUCGUUGGUCCCGGAAAGGGAAUUUUCCAUACGCAAUACUCCAGGUACUGCACAAAAUAUGUCUAAAAUCAGCCACAUAAUUAAUGUCAGCCAUUAGUUACAUUUUGAAACAGAAGAACAUUUACAUUUGCAUGGUGUUUGGGUGCCCACGCGGUGUCCUUGGAGCUGUGGGACUGCUGCAUGAGGUGAAGCCGGAGCUGCCCCAGCACCCAGCGGCCCAGCUGCUGCAGUGUCUGACAUCAGCAUCCCCCUGGGAGAGCCAGAAGAUGAGCUGGCAUCUUCCCUCUUGGUUUUAAGAACACCUGCUGGACUUGCUGCUUGAAGGCAAGGGACAAUACAGCUCUCACUUACUUUCGCAAACCCAAACUGAGCUACAAACAACAAAAUGAAGUCAUAGAAAAGAAAGAACACUUGACUUGUGUCAACAUUUUUUUUUCUUUUUGAAAGAAAUCUGUUCAGUUUAAUCCUCAUGAAAGUGGGAAAAAUAAUAACAGUGGGUUAAAGCCAGUGUUUAAGAAAAUACAUUUAAAUAUAUUUUUUUACUUAAAAAUGACUUUCUUCAGCAUUCAAAGACCUAAGAGUUAAACUAUAAUUGUAUACACCUUAUGUAACAAAUUGACAAAAAAUUUAAUAAACCAGACUAUAUAAAAAGCA